RNAcentral lists this small nuclear RNA (107 nucleotides) under Rhinolophus ferrumequinum (greater horseshoe bat). Lineage: Eukaryota; Metazoa; Chordata; Mammalia; Chiroptera; Rhinolophidae. The record is from RNAcentral.
GUGCUUGCUUCGGCAGCACAUAUACUAAAAUUGGAACGAUGCAGAGAAGAUUAGCAUGGCCCCUGUGCAAGGAUGACACGCAAAUUCCUGAAGCGUUCUAUAUUUUU